CAGUUUACAAAAAGGAAUGAAGGAAUUAAAGGGAAAACAGAGUGACACAGAUUUGUCCUGUUUCUGUGCUCCUAAUAAAAAAAAAAAACCUGUUGAUUCUAUCCUUCUUCUUAAAUUAAUACAAAUUCGUUUUGUUUUAAAACAUUAUUACAAAAAGAAUGAUGUUCAUAAUGAGAAAUGAACAAUUCAAGAAGGAUGAUAAGGUAUAUACUCAUGUUCAAUUGCAGGCGUGGUCCGAGUAACAGUUGCUGUAGGUGCCCUCACAUGGCCAACCAUUGACACUUGCAGAGCUUCCUCUUCGUAGGCUCUUCUUUCCAUCUCCUCCAUUUUUGCUCUCUUCUUUGCAUUAACAAACAUUGCCACCAAAAGCAAACCCAGAAGGAGUACGCCCAAGGCAGUCCCAACCGUGCUCCCCACCACCACUUUCCACAGGCUGAUCUUCUUUCUUGCUUGCCCUGGUGCUCCUGCUGAUGGUGGGGGCGAUUCGAUCACCAAACCAUAAUGUCCACGCCUUGUGACUACACAAAUAUUAUGCGAUGCUGGGGUUUUCAGUUUCACCUUGCCGUCAUUUUCAAAACUAGCACAGAGUGGCCUAAUUCCUGAUGGGUGGGCUAUACUGGUUGCAUUGGUAAAGUCUAUAGUGAUUGGUUUUUCUCCAGCAUGGAUUCCAAGCUCGACAGGAUUGCUAAAAUUCACAUCACUGCCAUCAUUAUAUGCUAAAAGGCCUAAAAUGGGGGACACAAGCUGAUAUCCUGACAAGUCAAAGCAGGCAUAAUAUAUAGAAGACCAGUUAUGCCCUAAAUUUUGUCUAAUUACCAUGACUCUUUGCACACAUGGCUCCACAAUUACACCAAUACCAAGAUGGAAUUCCUUUACCUGAGCGCCAUAUCUCCUCAGACUGCCACAUCGGAACUUCACAGUAUCCACUUCGAUGCCGGAGAAGUUUGCAGGUAAAUGUACAGUGUGUAUUAUACCUGUCUUGUUGUUUAUGUCAUAGGACUUGAAUGUGUAAUCUCUAAUGACAAGAUCGAGAAGACGGGCAGAUUUGAUCCCUUGAGCUUCAUUUCUAAUGGAUGCCAAGGACAGUAGAGUUAUCAAGGAGAAAGAGAGGAGGAAGCCCAUGUGAGAAUGUGAACUUGGUAUAAAAGGAGCUGGUCAGGACUAGAGUGGUUUUGCAAAUUAAAGGAAAAGGGAAUGAUUUCUAUGGAAAAUAGUUCCACCGAGAAGCUACUUCUCUUCCUGUGGAUAAGUAACAAGAAAGGAGUUGCAAAGAAGAAAGCUGAGACUGUUCAGGGAAAUUUAUGAUGGGGAAAAGACAGCUUUCAGUGGAUUAAAAAAGAAGAAGAAAGUUAAGAGGGAAAGGAAAGUUCCUGUCUUGCUUUCCAUAGAAUGUAGUACUCUUAUACGAUAGGUGCAAUUUGAGUAAUACUGUGA
This 1434-nucleotide unclassified non-coding RNA is filed under the name Hevea brasiliensis (rubber tree). Lineage: Eukaryota; Viridiplantae; Streptophyta; Magnoliopsida; Malpighiales; Euphorbiaceae. The record is from RNAcentral.